This 96-nucleotide long non-coding RNA is filed under the name Serinus canaria (Common canary). RNAcentral describes it as "lncRNA (ENSSCAG00000015315.1)". The record is from RNAcentral. Lineage: Eukaryota; Metazoa; Chordata; Aves; Passeriformes; Fringillidae.
GUAGAACCCUGACAGAAUUUGGAGUGUUCCUUUGCCUCCCUGACCUCCCAGUGUUGGCAGUGUGGAGACAAUGCACUGGGAGGACUGGGCUGUGAA